AGUAAUCCAGGUCAGCUUCUAUCUAUAACUAAUUUUAUUUAGUACGAAAGGAAAAAUAAAAUAUAGCCUAUUAAAAAUUAACGCUAUUUAAAUUAAUUUAAAACAUUUACAUUUUCAAGAGAAAAUAACUU
RNAcentral lists this ribosomal RNA (131 nucleotides) under Myxine glutinosa (Atlantic hagfish). Its description in RNAcentral is "partial 16S ribosomal RNA". The record is from RNAcentral. Lineage: Eukaryota; Metazoa; Chordata; Myxini; Myxiniformes; Myxinidae.